Molecule: ribosomal RNA, 429 nt
Filed under: Verrucomicrobiota bacterium
Lineage: Bacteria; Pseudomonadati; Verrucomicrobiota
Description: Verrucomicrobia bacterium partial 16S ribosomal RNA
Rfam family: Bacterial small subunit ribosomal RNA
Source: RNAcentral
UAGGGAAUCUUCCGCAAUGGACGAAAGUCUGACGGAGCAACGCCGCGUGAGUGAAGAAGGAUUUCGGUUCGUAAAACUCUGUUGUUAGGGAAGAAAAAAUGUAUAGUAACUAUAUACAAAAGAGACGGUACCUAACCAGAAAGCCACGGCUAACUACGUGCCAGCAGCCGCGGUAAUACGUAGGUGGCAAGCGUUGUCCGGAAUUAUUGGGCGUAAAGCGCGCGCAGGUGGUUUAGAAAGUCUGAUGUGAAAGCCCACGGCUCAACCGUGGAGGGUCAUUGGAAACUAAUAAACUUGAGUGCCGGAGAGAAAAGUGGAAUUCCUAGUGUAGCGGUGAAAUGCGUAGAGAUUAGGAGGAACACCGGUGGCGAAAGCGGCUUUUUGGCCUGCAACUGACACUGAGGCGCGAAAGCGUGGGGAGCAAACAGG